GGAAUAUUGCACAAUGGGGGAAACCCUGAUGCAGCAACGCCGCGUGAGUGAAGAAGUAUUUCGGUAUGUAAAGCUCUAUCAGCAGGGAAGAAGAAAGACGGUACCUGACUAACAAGCCCCGGCUAACUACGUGCCAGCAGCCGCGGUAAUACGUAGGGGGCAAGCGUUAUCCGGAUUUACUGGGUGUAAAGGGAGCGUAGACGGCAUGGCAAGUCUGAAGUGAAAGCCCGUGGCUCAACCGCGGAACUGCUUUGGAAACUGUUAAGCUGGGGUACUGGAGAGGCAAGCGGAAUUCCUAGUGUAGCGGUGAAAUGCGUAGAUAUUAGGAGGAACACCAGUGGCGAAGGCGGCUUGCUGGACAGAGACUGACGUUGAGGCUCGAAAGCGUGGGUAUCGAA
This 398-nucleotide ribosomal RNA is filed under the name uncultured bacterium. Its description in RNAcentral is "bacterial SSU rRNA". It matches the Rfam family "Bacterial small subunit ribosomal RNA", at positions 358 to 772 of the family's 1533-position model. The record is from RNAcentral.